RNAcentral lists this long non-coding RNA (315 nucleotides) under Elaeis guineensis (African oil palm). RNAcentral's name for it is "long non-coding RNA (EGUI_LNC071841)". The record is from RNAcentral. Lineage: Eukaryota; Viridiplantae; Streptophyta; Magnoliopsida; Arecales; Arecaceae.
CAAAGACUACCCUGGCUAAGAUUUUGUUAAAUUGAAACAUGACUGUACACAGCUCCUAAACUGGAGUGGUUAAUCCCAUCUUGACACACGCACCGACAAGUCAAGUACUUGACUACACCCAGCAGCCUUCCGUCACUGAAUUAAAAAUUCAGGUAGUCCAGUGCCUAAGUGCAGUGAGUUGCUUGCAGGUCACUGUGGCGGUCUCAGGUCGGAGGGACAUUUAUACCCAUAUUCCAUUGGAGCAAAUCUUGACAACAGAAAUAGCUCCAGAGUCGGUCACGUUCAGUGCAGAUGUACCCUUACAUCUCACCUGUA